RNAcentral lists this long non-coding RNA (1321 nucleotides) under Chinchilla lanigera (long-tailed chinchilla). RNAcentral describes it as "lncRNA (ENSCLAG00000025221.1)". The record is from RNAcentral. Lineage: Eukaryota; Metazoa; Chordata; Mammalia; Rodentia; Chinchillidae.
GUCUGGAACGGAUGGGAGCCGUCGGGGUGUUUCGCGCCCGGCUGUGCAGAGCCGCGGAGGACGUGCCACGCGAAGCCCAGGCCCGAUCUUCCCCGGCGUAUAGCACUGUUGUAUCCAGUAUCCCCCAGUUGCCUGGCCUUUGACAUCUCCGCCCGGCCGCAGGAGAGCGGGCCCCUCCGGGUCCAGCUGCUGGUCUGCGCGUGUCGGUGCGCUCCCGCGCCAAGCCCUGCGGGUGGACGCUGCAGUGUGUUUAUUUCUUUCUCCCGCCCAGCUCGUUGUUUGCUGUUUGGGUGGUGUCCCGCUCGGGCUCAUGACUGUCAUACUAAAGGAAGAACUCUGUUGAAGGUUAGCAACACGCUGAGGUUCGCCAGGGGCGGCCACGCGUGGAAAAUGGGCGGAGAAACGAAGGUCAGCGCUUGUUUGAGAGCACAGGAAGAACGUUCUAGGAGACAGGCCGAGUACCGCGCGAGUCGUCCAGCAGGUGGCGCGGCAAGCGUACCGUACGGAGAGCAGGUCGCCCGUCCUGCUACCUGUGCGGGGAAACACCCCCGUGAAGAGAGAAAGGGGACGGGGCAUUUUCAGGGACAGAUGAGUGCUUGUGUCCAGUGAUUUGUGUCCUAGGACCGGGACUUACAAAAAAUAAAAAACGUGUGUGUGUGUGCAUGUGUGUGCGCUCAUCUAUCCACAGAGGCGGAGCACAUUCUUAAUUUGCUCAUCCAUCCGCCCAGCCCCAGCGCUUACCGAGUGUCACCAAGGACUUCCCAAGGUCACACUGCUAACUUAGCUAAGGACCAGGUUUCCUAUUGAGAUAAGGCAAAAUCUUAGACACCCCCAGAUUCAUGCUGUUUGCUUCCGGAAAAAACUUUUGGCAUUCAUUUAGCUGUCAGUGUGUUUAAUAUUUUAGGAGAAAGGCACACAGCGGCAUGCGUGUGGGACCAGGAGCCCUUGGGCUUCUGGUUCUCGCAGGAGCAGUAGUAGCGGGUGGCACCCAGAGGGGCGUGAGUCGUCCAGUGCAGUGUGUAAGCCUUGGGAGGCGACUGCUGGGUGGGCAGAAGGGCAACUCUAGAGGGCAUUCUGUGGGCAGGUAGGGAAACUUAAACUUGACCAUUGGAGACAUUUGACCAUGAAUACGGUGUGAGGCAAGAACAAUUGUUAAAUUUUUUGCAUGUGAUAGUGGUGAUGUGGUUUUGUAGGAGUGUCUUUGUGUUUAGGAGAUGCAUGCCGAAGAGUUUAGGGGCCGAGCGUCAUGAUGUCAUGAUUACCCUACUUUCUUUCAAAUUGUUCUCUCCCCCCCUUCUUUCUCUCUCUCCUCUCAAUAAAG